This 622-nucleotide ribosomal RNA is filed under the name uncultured Verrucomicrobiota bacterium. RNAcentral describes it as "bacterial SSU rRNA". It matches the Rfam family "Bacterial small subunit ribosomal RNA", at positions 70 to 680 of the family's 1533-position model. The record is from RNAcentral. Lineage: Bacteria; Pseudomonadati; Verrucomicrobiota.
UAGCCUGGUAGCAAUACUAGGUUGAGCCAGUGGCGAACGGGUGCGUAACACGUGAGUCAUCUGCCUGAAAGUGGGGGAUAGCUCGCCGAAAGGCGAAUUAAUACCGCAUGUGCCCCGAAGCAAUUCGGGGUAAAGCCGGGGCAACCUGGCGCUUUUAGAUGAGCUCGCGGCCUAUCAGCUUGUUGGUAAGGUAACGGCUUACCAAGGCUUCGACGGGUAGCUGGUCUGAGAGGACGACCAGCCACACUGGAACUGAGACACGGUCCAGACACCUACGGGUGGCAGCAGUCGAGAAUUUUUCUCAAUGGGGGAAACCCUGAAGGAGCGACGCCGCGUGGAGGAUGAAGGCUUUCGGGUUGUAAACUCCUGUCAUUUGGGAACAAUACCUUACGUUAACUGCGUGGAGGUUUGAUAGUACCAGAAGAGGAAGAGACGGCUAACUCUGUGCCAGCAGCCGCGGUAAUACAGAGGUCUCGAGCGUUGUUCGGAUUCAUUGGGCGUAAAGGGCGCGUAGGCUGCGGGGCAAGUCGGGUGUGAAAUCUCAGAGCUCAACUCUGAAACUGCACUCGAUACUGCUUUUGCUAGAGGACUGGAGAGGAGAUUGGAAUUCACGGGUGUAGCA